Molecule: non-coding RNA, 93 nt
Submitted as: unclassified sequences
Source: Rfam
AUAAUGAUACUUCCGUCCAGUCACAGCCCCGCAAAACGGGAACACGCAAUGAGGGCGGCUCGGAGAGACCCUCGGAGGGGAAGAAUCCCAUGA